UGAAAAGAUACUAUCUGAGGGGAGGAGUGCAGUAAGACUUUCUGAGAGGACUGGCAUUUAUAUGCUCAUCUCUGAGUGCUCCAUGGCCACAUCAGCAUCAUUCGCAGGGUCAGCGAAAGGGUAAAUUGUCAAUGCUUCCGAAAGCACCAUUAAUCUUACCAAAUGAAGAAAUAAAUGCAUCUCAAUGAUGGAUUUUUCUGUAAACUAUUAUGGAGAACCCUUGAGGUGAUUCUCACAGGAGAUAUGAAUACAGUACAGGUGGCCAGGAAAGGAAAAAAAUAAUAUAAACCAACAUGCAGGAACUACAAGAAAAAAAGAGGAAUGGAGGUACUACCCAUGAUAUUAAAAAGAGGUCCGUGGAAGAUUUCAAAAUUUAUGAUGUGUCUGGCCGCAGAUCUCUGAUUUAGUCCUACCUGGAGUUCAUUGAACUUCUUGGAUAUGUAGAUUAAUGUUUUUCAUCAAAUUUGGGCUUGAAUUUCUCAUUCAUUUGGUAGCUUAGAGUCCCAGGAUUAAGAUAUGGUGAUGCAUGGAGGGAGAACCCCACUCUGGGAAGAGAAGAGCAACAGCAUCUCCUGUCUCCCUCAGUCCAGGCUUUGUGCCAGAUUAUCUCACGGAUCCUCACAAGUACACAGCCUAGGUUGGUAUUCUUAAUACUGUUCCCAAAUAGGGACGCUAUUGCUUAAAAAGUUGUAUAAACUUGGAAAAGUUCAGUAAAUGGUGGAUAUAAGAUAAGAACCAGGAAUUUUUUACUUCAUAGUCUUCAAAAACAUCACACACAUUUCAACAUUAAUCUGCAAAAACCAAUGAAGAAGGUAAAGAAGAGUCUAUACUUGUUGAGGCCCCGUUAUGCCACAUAUUAGUCAAUAUUUCACAUGUUAUGUCAGUCCAUCUUAUCAACAACAUUGUGAGGAAUCAGAAAUAUAAAGAAGUUAAGUAAUUUGAUAAAAAUCACACUUCUAGCAAAUGCCUGGCACAUAAAAGAUGAUUAAUAUCUAUUUAUUAAGGAGAUAAAUGAAAGUAGGAGAGGCUGAUUUUAGUUCAAUGGACUGCCCUCCUGUACCUCCCUAGAUUUCCUUAGACAACUUUUUUACCUUUUUUUGGCCUACUCAAGAACCAGAUCCUAAAAUAAUUAGAUCCUUGCUUUUGUAUGGAAAGGAGAUUAGGCAAAAAAAAAUGGAUAUUGCAGAGCCAAGAGCAAUAAGCAGGAUAAGAGCUUGAAAAACCCUAUGAGGCAAAGAUAGGGUCUGUGGCAGGCAAAGUCCAUGCUUUCCACCUACAUCUACAGACUCCAAAAAAUUCACCGUUUUCUUAGUCCUAAAUUUGACUGGUGAUUUUCAAAAAUAUUUUUUACUUUCAUGAUCUCAAAAGAUUAAAGAUUCCAGAGAAGGUGGGGAGAGAACUUCAAAAGUUUGCCUCACAACUCUUUUGGAUCAAAGGGAUUUUAUUUUCCUGGCACUGAAGAACUAAAAGAUACAUAAAACGGCACAAUAUUUUAUAGGGUUCCUUAUGGAUGGGCUAUUCUUUAAAUGCUGAGGAAGGAAACAAAUAAUGCACCAGACUAUUUAAUUAAACUGUGUCUAAAAUCUGCGCUCCGCUGUAUUAGAGGCACCUCCUCAGACUUGUAAACCAGUGGGCCAAAGUCAAUUAAGAAGGACAUGUCUACAAAUGUUUCAACGAUUACCAGUUACUUGCCUCUGACGCCCUCCCCUAAUCUCCAGGACAUAAAUGGUGAACGAAAAAUCAGUCACUUGAUUUACCUCCAAGAUCAAUCUGAAGGACAAGUUUAGCACUUAAAACAACUGGUUUUGAAGAAGUGGUGACUUUCAGUUAGUAACAAUAUAGGAUACCAUGGUGAAGAAGGGAGAGAAACCAACCCAGGAUCAGAGUCAAAGCUCUUCAAAGCUAGUCCUUAUCUACCUCCCUGGCCUAUUCCCUACCACCUGGGGUAUACACUUUCUCUAUCUUCUGUGGUUCCCAAGCCAGGGACAACAGUCACAAAACACUGCCUGCCUUCGCACACAAAGUUCCCUCUGGAAUUUGAGGAUGUGACUUUCUUCCAACGAUCUAUUCUAGUUUGUGCUCCCUUCCUCCUUUCCAUGAGCCCUCUGCUCCCCAAACUAUAAAAAUGCCUUGUCCCUCCCAGCCUGGGUCUUUGUAGAUGAGGCUAUCCAUUCCUUUCAGCCUCUUUACUCUGGCCUCAUCCCAGAAUAAGAACCUAAGACACUUUCUCCCUAGAAGUCUUACCAAAUAAGUCCUACUCACUUGCCUUAAAUCUUUAACCUCUGAGGACACAGGGCAUUUUCUGUUUCAUCCAUACAGUUUCCUCCAACCAUUUUAAUUCAAGUUGCAUGCUUCCUUACUAUAGGUUUUAGGUACAGAUUUAACACCCUGUCAGUUCUUCUAUUGCCUCUUUCCAGGGUCUUAUUUUAACUUUCUGUGAUUUAAAAACUCUCUUUGUCAUUCUGAGCCCAUGUUUCUUUGUAUAAGAAUUAAUUAUGAGAAAUGACUGAUAAAAUCACUCAUUUUUGAAUGAUACAAUGGUAAUUUAUAAUCAUGGUUGAAAUGCUUGAGGUCACAUUCUACUCCAGGCUGAAAUGAUCUGGUUCUUCUUAGCAUAUUUGAUUGUGUAAUUAAUUUUAUUUAUUAGGCUUAUGUUGGUAAGUUAUAUUUAAAAGUAAACGAUUAAAACUUACGAUAAAGUCCAGAACUAACAGCUAUACCAAGAAACCAUUCUGUGUUAUACCUGCAAUCGAUGCUAUGGAAGUUAAGGAAUGUAACCCUUUGACAAAACUAGAAAUGCAUCCAUCUGUACCAGCUGGAGUUUUAGAGGAAUCCAAUAAACAAUACUUGUUGUGGACUGAAUUGUGUCCUCCCAAAAUUUGUCAAACUCCUAACCCUCAGUACCUCAGAAUGUGACUGCUUCUGGAGACAAGGUCUUUAAAGAGGUAAUUAAAUUAAAAUAAGGUCAUUAGGGUGACCCUUAACCCAAUGUGACAGGUGACUUAAAAGAAGAAGAGAUUAAGACACAGACAGAUACAGAGGAAAGAUUACAUGAAGACUCAGGAAAAUGACGCCAUCUACAAGCGAAGGAGAGAGGCCUCAGGAUAAAUCAACCCUACAGACACCUUAAUCUCAGAUUUCUAGCCUCUAGACUUGUAAGAAAAUAAAUUUCUGUUGUUUAAGUG
Molecule: long non-coding RNA, 3185 nt
Filed under: Homo sapiens (human)
Lineage: Eukaryota; Metazoa; Chordata; Mammalia; Primates; Hominidae
Description: HSALNT0121714
Source: RNAcentral